RNAcentral lists this non-coding RNA (867 nucleotides) under Pongo abelii (Sumatran orangutan). The record is from RNAcentral. Lineage: Eukaryota; Metazoa; Chordata; Mammalia; Primates; Hominidae.
GUGGUUCUGGUAGCGAAGGGCGAGACUGGGCUCGCCAGGCGGAAGUGGUUGGAGACUGCGUGUUUUCCUAGAAAGUCCUCGACCUUCGUCGGGGAGAGGAGGGGAGUGAUAAAUUGGAAGGCGGACAAGCGACAAGUGCAGUACUGGAAAGACCCAGACAUACUUGGUUGUGACCUCAGGACUCAAUAAAAUAAACAGCUGGAAAUAAGCAGACUACUGUAAGAGUGAAUUGAAAAGAAAACCCAAGGUCACAUCUCCCAAGAAGCAGUAAUGUUCCAGCAAUAAGAAAAGGACAGUUUUUUCUCUUUUGCAUGGUGAGCCUUAUAUGAAUUACAUCAAUUUUGUCACCAAUAUCCAUCAUCAGAACAUUUUGAUUCUACAUAACACAUUAUAAAAUGGUCACAACAAUCAAGACUAUAUCCAUAGAUGUCCCAGAAAUAAUAUCUGACUAUACAGAGCAGCAUUACCAAGCCACCAAGAAGUCUGCCUAGUAAUGACAAUGAUAACAACAGCUAACACUUAUCAACAGAGCAGAGGAACAGAGCCACAGAUAACUGAAAACCACUUUGGCACUGAGGAGGUAUGCAGACAAGAUCUGGAAGGGAAUCUAGAAAAAUGACAACUUUGGAAUAAUAGAUACCUUUUGUUUUCUUAUUGCUUUUAUUUUUGUGAUAAAUAUUAAGAGUAAAAAGAAAAUUCACAUUGUUUGUUCUGUGGUACUCAGUCAACUUAGGUUUUACUCAAUAGCAUGUUGUUAAUUAAUCUUCCAAAUUGUUGGGGUAUUUCAUAUGAAUUAGCCCCUACCCCCACCGUGUCCUUUCCCCAGACUCCAUUCCUAGAUAAUCACUUCUGUCAAUUCCUAGAUAA